UUUUAUAUGAGAGUUUGAUCCUGGCUCAGGAUGAACGCCGGCGGUGUGCCUAAUACAUGCAAGUCGAACGCGUUGGCCCAACUGAUUGGACGUGCUUGCACGGACUUGACGUUGGUUUACCAGCGAGUGGCGGACGGGUGAGUAACACGUAGGUAA
RNAcentral lists this ribosomal RNA (156 nucleotides) under Limosilactobacillus mucosae. RNAcentral describes it as "Lactobacillus mucosae 16S rRNA. Bacterial SSU". It matches the Rfam family "Bacterial small subunit ribosomal RNA", at positions 1 to 124 of the family's 1533-position model. The record is from RNAcentral. Lineage: Bacteria; Bacillati; Bacillota; Bacilli; Lactobacillales; Lactobacillaceae.